UAGGUUAACGAGGCGAACCGGGGGAACUGAAACAUCUAAGUACCCCGAGGAAAAGAAAUCAACCGAGAUUCCCCCAGUAGCGGCGAGCGAACGGGGAGCAGCCCAGAGUCUGAAUCAGCUUGUGUGUUAGUGGAACGGUCUGGAAAGUCCGACGGUACAGGGUGAUAGUCCCGUACACCAAAAUGCACAGGUUGUGAACUCGAAGAGUAGGGCGGGACACGUGGUAUCCUGUCUGAAUAUGGGGGGACCAUCCUCCAAGGCUAAAUACUCCUGACUGACCGAUAGUGAACCAGUACCGUGAGGGAAAGGCGAAAAGAACCCCGGCGAGGGGAGUGAAAAAGAACCUGAAACCGUGUACGUACAAGCAGUGGGAGCACCUUCGGGUGUGACUGCGUACCUUUUGUAUAAUGGGUCAGCGACUUAUA
RNAcentral lists this ribosomal RNA (425 nucleotides) under Klebsiella pneumoniae. Its description in RNAcentral is "partial 23S ribosomal RNA". It matches the Rfam family "Bacterial large subunit ribosomal RNA", at positions 167 to 632 of the family's 2925-position model. The record is from RNAcentral. Lineage: Bacteria; Pseudomonadati; Pseudomonadota; Gammaproteobacteria; Enterobacterales; Enterobacteriaceae.